GAUGAACGCUGGCGGCGUGCCUAAUACAUGCAAGUCGAGCGAACAGAUAAGGAGCUUGCUCCUUUGACGUUAGCGGCGGACGGGUGAGUAACACGUGGAUAACCUACCUAUAAGACUGGGAUAACUUCGGGAAACCGGAGCUAAUACCGGAUAACAUAUUGAACCGCAUGGUUCAAUAGUGAAAGGCGGCUUUGCUGUCACUUAUAGAUGGAUCCACGCCGUAUUAGCUAGUUGGUAAGGUAACGGCUUACCAAGGCAACGAUACGUAGCCGACCUGAGAGGGUGAUCGGCCACACUGGAACUGAGACACGGUCCAGACUCCUACGGGAGGCAGCAGUAGGGAAUCUUCCGCAAUGGGCGAAAGCCUGACGGAGCAACGCCGCGUGAGUGAUGAAGGUCUUCGGAUCGUAAAACUCUGUUAUCAGGGAAGAACAAAUGUGUAAGUAACUGUGCACAUCUUGACGGUACCUGAUCAGAAAGCCACGGCUAACUACGUG
Molecule: ribosomal RNA, 497 nt
Filed under: uncultured bacterium
Lineage: Bacteria
Description: partial 16S ribosomal RNA
Rfam family: Bacterial small subunit ribosomal RNA
Source: RNAcentral